RNAcentral lists this long non-coding RNA (298 nucleotides) under Musa acuminata (dwarf banana). Its description in RNAcentral is "long non-coding RNA (MACU_LNC000838)". Lineage: Eukaryota; Viridiplantae; Streptophyta; Magnoliopsida; Zingiberales; Musaceae. The record is from RNAcentral.
AGCUUUGCACGUUGGAGGGCCAAUCUGCACUACUGUCUGUGUCACCAUAGAUGACUUCCUAUAUGCUCAAUGGAGCUGAAGCGCUUACUUUCCCCAAAGGAAGAACUCCAACUGGGUUGGGCUUCAGGGGGUCGUCUCUCAAUGGGAUAUGCCUUCCCAAGAUGGGUGUGGUCUCCGUUGGUGGUGGUAGUAUGAAGGCCAAAUCUUUAGUACCAGCGUGUGGCCUUUCCUCUUCUAGGCCAGCUUCCCAACCCAGGUUCAUUCAGCACAAAAAGGAGGCGUUUUGGUUUUAUAGGUU